AGCAGCCGCGGUAAUUCCAGCUCCAAUAGCGUAUAUUAAAGUUGUUGCAGUUAAAAAGCUCGUAGUUGAAUUUCGGGAUCAUCAGGUCGGUCGUGCCUCCGGUAUGUACUGGUCUCGAUGGUUCCUCCUUCUUGUAGAACCGUAAUGCCAUUAAUUUGGUGUUGCGGGGAAACAGGACUGUUACUUUGAAAAAAUUAGAGUGUUUAAAGCAGGCGAUCGCUUGAAUACAUUAGCAUGGAAUAAUGAAAUAGGACGUUCGAUCCUAUUUUGUUGGUUUCUAGGAUUGACGUAAUGAUUAAUAGGGAUAGUUGGGGGCAUUAGUAUUCAAUUGUCAGAGGUGAAAUUCUUGGAUUUAUUGAAGACUAACUACUGCGAAAGCAUUUGCCAAGGAUGUUUUCAUUAAUCAAGAACGAAAGUUAGGGGAUCGAAGACGAUCAGAUACCGUCGUAGUCUUAACCAUAAACUAUGCCGACUAGGGAUCGGAUGAUGCUAAUUUUUUAAUGA
This 504-nucleotide ribosomal RNA is filed under the name uncultured Glomus. RNAcentral's name for it is "SSU rRNA". It matches the Rfam family "Eukaryotic small subunit ribosomal RNA", at positions 569 to 1077 of the family's 1831-position model. The record is from RNAcentral. Lineage: Eukaryota; Fungi; Glomeromycota; Glomeromycetes; Glomerales; Glomeraceae.